RNAcentral lists this ribosomal RNA (1372 nucleotides) under uncultured bacterium. RNAcentral describes it as "bacterial SSU rRNA". It matches the Rfam family "Bacterial small subunit ribosomal RNA", at positions 28 to 1381 of the family's 1533-position model. The record is from RNAcentral.
GAUGAACGCUGGCGGCGUGCCUAAUACAUGCAAGUCGAGCGAACGGACGAGAAGCUUGCUUCUCUGAUGUUAGCGGCGGACGGGUGAGUAACACGUGGAUAACCUACCUAUAAGACUGGGAUAACUUCGGGAAACCGGAGCUAAUACCGGAUAAUAUUUUGAACCGCAUGGUUCAAAAGUGAAAGACGGUCUUGCUGUCACUUAUAGAUGGAUCCGCGCUGCAUUAGCUAGUUGGUAAGGUAACGGCUUACCAAGGCAACGAUGCAUAGCCGACCUGAGAGGGUGAUCGGCCACACUGGAACUGAGACACGGUCCAGACUCCUACGGGAGGCAGCAGUAGGGAAUCUUCCGCAAUGGGCGAAAGCCUGACGGAGCAACGCCGCGUGAGUGAUGAAGGUCUUCGGAUCGUAAAACUCUGUUAUUAGGGAAGAACAUAUGUGUAAGUAACUGUGCACAUCUUGACGGUACCUAAUCAGAAAGCCACGGCUAACUACGUGCCAGCAGCCGCGGUAAUACGUAGGUGGCAAGCGUUAUCCGGAAUUAUUGGGCGUAAAGCGCGCGUAGGCGGUUUUUUAAGUCUGAUGUGAAAGCCCACGGCUCAACCGUGGAGGGUCAUUGGAAACUGGAAAACUUGAGUGCAGAAGAGGAAAGUGGAAUUCCAUGUGUAGCGGUGAAAUGCGCAGAGAUAUGGAGGAACACCAGUGGCGAAGGCGACUUUCUGGUCUGUAACUGACGCUGAUGUGCGAAAGCGUGGGGAUCAAACAGGAUUAGAUACCCUGGUAGUCCACGCCGUAAACGAUGAGUGCUAAGUGUUAGGGGGUUUCCGCCCCUUAGUGCUGCAGCUAACGCAUUAAGCACUCCGCCUGGGGAGUACGACCGCAAGGUUGAAACUCAAAGGAAUUGACGGGGACCCGCACAAGCGGUGGAGCAUGUGGUUUAAUUCGAAGCAACGCGAAGAACCUUACCAAAUCUUGACAUCCUUUGACAACUCUAGAGAUAGAGCCUUCCCCUUCGGGGGACAAAGUGACAGGUGGUGCAUGGUUGUCGUCAGCUCGUGUCGUGAGAUGUUGGGUUAAGUCCCGCAACGAGCGCAACCCUUAAGCUUAGUUGCCAUCAUUAAGUUGGGCACUCUAAGUUGACUGCCGGUGACAAACCGGAGGAAGGUGGGGAUGACGUCAAAUCAUCAUGCCCCUUAUGAUUUGGGCUACACACGUGCUACAAUGGACAAUACAAAGGGCAGCGAAACCGCGAGGUCAAGCAAAUCCCAUAAAGUUGUUCUCAGUUCGGAUUGUAGUCUGCAACUCGACUACAUGAAGCUGGAAUCGCUAGUAAUCGUAGAUCAGCGUGCUACGGUGAAUACGUUCCCGGGUCU